Molecule: ribosomal RNA, 341 nt
Filed under: Pheidole sagax
Lineage: Eukaryota; Metazoa; Arthropoda; Insecta; Hymenoptera; Formicidae
Description: partial 16S large subunit ribosomal RNA
Source: RNAcentral
AAUAGUUUUUUAAAUGGAAACUGGGAUGAAUGAAGUGAUGAGAUUUAUACUGUCUUAAGUUAAAUAAAUGAAUUUAUUAAUUAAGUAAAAAAACUUAAAUAAUUAUAUGGGACGAGAAGACCCUAUAGAAUUUUAUAUAAAUUUAAUAAUAUAUUUAAUAUAAUACUUAUUGAUUUUAUAUUUUAUUGGGAGGAUAGUUAAAUUAUAUAAACUUUAAUAGUAUAAAUCCAUACAUUUAUGAAUUAUAAGUUAUAGAAUGAUAAAAGUUUUAAGUAGAAUUAAUUACCUUAGGGAUAACAGCGUUAUAUUUUUAGAGAGAUCUUAUUGAUAAAAAUGAUUGC